This 418-nucleotide long non-coding RNA is filed under the name Bos taurus (domestic cattle). Its description in RNAcentral is "long non-coding RNA NONBTAT005702". Lineage: Eukaryota; Metazoa; Chordata; Mammalia; Artiodactyla; Bovidae. The record is from RNAcentral.
CAGUAAUUAAACCGAUUCUAUUUAAUGACAUCUUUGUCGCAUAGGUGGUCUCUAAUGCUGACAACAGAUUUCUUAGAAAUGCUGCUCUCUCUAUUUAACUAACAUUUUGUUCAGUUUUGCCUCCAGUGGAAGCAGAAAGGGUUUUUUCAGCUGUUAAAUCCGAGCCUGGGUUUUCUUUGCUGUCGUUGUUGUUGUUUUGUAUGGAAAGGCUGCUUUCCCCAGGUUCCACUUAGAACCUCCAGUAGGUCACAGGGUUCAGUAUGGAUUUGAUUUAACAACCCACCAGCAUGCUAAAAAUCCCUUGUUAUAUCUUAUCGAACCUGUAUGUUAACUCUCUGGGUGUUUAGGCUUCUCUUUGACUGCUAUUGUGUCCCUGUUUGCAAAAUGAAAAUGACACUCUGUGGAUUAUUUGCUCUGU